UACGUAGGUGGCAAGCGUUACUCGGAAUUACUAGGCGUAAAGCGCAGGUAGGUGGUCGGAUAAGUCCAUGAUGAAAGCUCCUGGCUUAACUGGGAGAGGUUCGUAGAUACUGUCUGACUCGAGUGUGGGAGAGGUGACUGGAAUUCCUGGUGUAGCGGUGAAAUGCGUAGAGAUCAGGAGGAACACCAAAGGCGAAAGCAGGUCACUGGCCCAAUACUGACGCUGAGCUGCGAAAGCUAGGGGAG
RNAcentral lists this ribosomal RNA (245 nucleotides) under uncultured bacterium. RNAcentral's name for it is "partial 16S ribosomal RNA". It matches the Rfam family "Bacterial small subunit ribosomal RNA", at positions 524 to 768 of the family's 1533-position model. The record is from RNAcentral.